Molecule: unclassified non-coding RNA, 413 nt
Filed under: Hevea brasiliensis (rubber tree)
Lineage: Eukaryota; Viridiplantae; Streptophyta; Magnoliopsida; Malpighiales; Euphorbiaceae
Source: RNAcentral
GUGAUAGUACUACUACUACAAUUUAACAAGUGAAAGAAUACAAGAAAGAGAGGAUGAACAAAAUAAAAAAAAAAGAUUACAACAAUGAUGGUUUAAGAAGUUUUAGAUGGUUGAGUAGCUGGAGCUGUCGAGUAUGUCUUUACUGCAAAGAAAAGCUUCUCCCUCUCCAAUGGACCAUCUUCAUGAUCAACAAUUAGACUAUCCCAGUUCAAUCCAUCUGCUAUCCUUUUCACUCUGAUCAAUAUAUCUACGUCGUCUCGGAUUAUUACACUUCCCUCUGGCCUUAAUAUCCUAUCCAAUUCUAGCACAAUAUCUUCCAUUUCACAUCUGUUCUCAUAGAGGGUAAAUACGGAAUCAGCAUGAAUGAGAUCAUAUGUUCUUGGGUAUGUUGACAUCGCCUCGCACCAGCUUUG